RNAcentral lists this ribosomal RNA (305 nucleotides) under uncultured bacterium. RNAcentral describes it as "bacterial SSU rRNA". It matches the Rfam family "Bacterial small subunit ribosomal RNA", at positions 333 to 654 of the family's 1533-position model. The record is from RNAcentral.
CCAGCCCUACGGGGCGCAGCAGUGGGGAAUAUUGCGCAAUGGGGGGAACCCUGACGCAGCAACGCCGCGUGAGUGAAGAAGGCCUUCGGGUUGUAAAGCUCUUUAAUCAGGGACGAAGAAUGACGGUACCUGAAGAAUAAGCCACGGCUAACUACGUGCCAGCAGCCGCGGUAAUACGUAGGUGGCAAGCGUUGUCUGGAUUUACUGGGUGUAAAGGGCGUGUAGCCGGGCCGGCAAGUCAGAUGUGAAAUCCCAAGGCUCAACCUUGGAACUGCAUUUGAAACUGUUGGUCUUGAGUAUCGGAG